Long non-coding RNA from Micropterus dolomieu (smallmouth bass), 733 nucleotides. RefSeq lists it as uncharacterized. Lineage: Eukaryota; Metazoa; Chordata; Actinopteri; Centrarchiformes; Centrarchidae. The record is from RefSeq and is a predicted model, not a curated record. The transcript has 3 exons.
CGGUUUUCAAAAUAAGUGGCAGCAGCGUACCAGAUGGUGAUGGAGGAAGUGAGGAUGGACUCAGUGAGACUCAGUCUACAGACCCAGCCGCAAGCUUUGAUUGGUCAGUGACCUGUGACCUAAGCCACCUCAUUGAUAAAAACAGCAGCACAAGCUCUGUUCGUUCUCUUCUUCCUCUCUUCCUCUCUUCCUUCUUCCGGACGGACCCACAGGCAACAGCGGCCUCCCAGUUUGGCCUCCUCAGACCAGACCAAGCAGACCUCUCGGCUGCAAUACAAGGUCCAGCAACCAGUUAACUCUGAGGAGAACAGACAGUGGCCAGACCCUCUCAUCUGAAUCACGACCCAUUAAAGAUUGCAUCUAAACUAUUCUUCACCACCUGGCUCCAUCCACAACGGACCUGUCAGGUGACAAUCAUCAGUUAUAGACGUUCCAUUUCCAACAGCAUUCCAACUUGAGGUGGUGGUGUCUAAAUGUCACUACUUUGUGUUUUGGCUGGAGUUAAAUGCCGUCUUUCGUGGUAAUAAUUAGCUCCCCUGUGUUAUGUUGAUGGAGUGUUGAUCUCCUGUCAGGUAACUUUCUGACUAACCUGUAACAAUAACUGGUGGGUUUUCUGAAGGAUCUCUGCACAGGGUAGUGGGUUACAAUAAUUACUGCAUCUCUAUAUAUUUGCCUAAAAGCUGAGACAAUGCAAGGGUCUGUCUAGUAGGGCUGACUGGACCUAAAGGUUGAC